UCAAUGUUAUGGUUCCGUUUGUUCUGCUCCUGCACUCCAACUUCACUUUCGCGCCUGCACAAACACAAUUAAAAAUGUAAAAAAUAAGAUAAAAUAAAUAGA
This 102-nucleotide small RNA is filed under the name Arabidopsis thaliana (thale cress). RNAcentral's name for it is "ATSL291260". The record is from RNAcentral. Lineage: Eukaryota; Viridiplantae; Streptophyta; Magnoliopsida; Brassicales; Brassicaceae.